GACAGAGGGGGCAAGCGUUAUUCGGAUUUACUGGGCGUAAAGGGCGCGUAGGCGGCUUGGCAAGUCCGGUGUGAAAACGCUACCGCUCAACGGAGCGAAGGCGCUGGAAACUGCCAAACUUGAGUGCGGAAGAGGCAGGUGGAACACCCGGUGUAGCGGUGGAAUGCUUAGAGAUCGGGUAGAACACCAGAGGCGAAGGCGGCCUGCUGGUUCGCAACUGACGCUGAGGCGCGAAAGCGUGGGGAGCAAACGGG
Molecule: unclassified non-coding RNA, 254 nt
Filed under: uncultured bacterium
Lineage: Bacteria
Description: contains 16S-23S intergenic spacer region
Rfam family: Bacterial small subunit ribosomal RNA
Source: RNAcentral